RNAcentral lists this ribosomal RNA (900 nucleotides) under uncultured bacterium. RNAcentral's name for it is "bacterial SSU rRNA". It matches the Rfam family "Bacterial small subunit ribosomal RNA", at positions 31 to 873 of the family's 1533-position model. The record is from RNAcentral.
AGGGGCGUGCGGGGUGUCUACACAUGCAAGUCGAACGAAGCGCCCGCGCGGAUUCCCUCGGGAUGAAGCGCGGAUGCCUUAAAGGCGGACGGGUGAGUCACGCGUGGGCAACCUGCCCCUUGCCGGGGGACAACAGCCGGAAACGGCUGCUAAUACCGCAUGAUCCGGGAGGGCCGCAUGGCCCUGCCGGGACAGCUCCGGCGGCACGGGAUGGGCCCGCGUCUGAUUAGUUUGUUGGCGGGGUAACGGCCCACCAAGACUGCGAUCAGCAGCCGGCCUGAGAGGGCGGCCGGCCACAUUGGGACUGAGACACGGCCCAGACUCCUGCGGGAGGCAGCAGUGGGGAAUAUUGCACAAUGGGGGAAACCCUGAUGCAGCGACGCCGCGUGGGCGACGAAGCGCUCCGGCGCGUAAAGCCCUGUCAGCAGGGAAGAAAAAAGACAGUACCUGACCAAGAAGCCCCGGCUAACUACGUGCCAGCAGCCGCGGUAAUACGUAGGGGGCAAGCGUUAUCCGGAUUCACUGGGCGUAAAGGGAGCGCAGGCGGCACGGCAAGUCUGGUGUGAAAGCCCGGGGCCCAACCCCGGGACUGCAUUGGAAACUGCCGGGCUGGAGUGCCGGAGGGGUAAGCGGAAUUCCUGGUGUAGCGGUGAAAUGCGCAGAUAUCAGGAAGAACACCGGUGGCGUACGCGGCUUACUGGACGGCAACUGACGCUGAGGCUCGAAAGCGUGGGGAGCAAACAGGAUUAGAUACCCUGGUAGUCCACGCCGUAUACGAUGAAUACCAGGUGUCGGCGGGCAGGGCCCCGCUCGGUGCCGCACUUAACGCCGUAUUUAUUUCCACCUGGGGGAGUAACCCCCCCACAAUGAAAACUCACCGCCUGGAAGGGCCAUCUCCCA